RNAcentral lists this ribosomal RNA (1358 nucleotides) under uncultured Bacteroidales bacterium. Its description in RNAcentral is "bacterial SSU rRNA". It matches the Rfam family "Bacterial small subunit ribosomal RNA", at positions 28 to 1381 of the family's 1533-position model. Lineage: Bacteria; Pseudomonadati; Bacteroidota; Bacteroidia; Bacteroidales. The record is from RNAcentral.
GAUGAACGCUAGCUACAGGCUUAACACAUGCAAGUCGAGGGGCAGCAUGGUCUUAGCUUGCUAAGGCCGAUGGCGACCGGCGCACGGGUGAGUAACACGUAUCCAACCUGCCGUCUACUCUUGGACAGCCUUCUGAAAGGAAGAUUAAUACAAGAUGGCAUCAUGAGUCCGCAUGUUCACAUGAUUAAAGGUAUUCCGGUAGACGAUGGGGAUGCGUUCCAUUAGAUAGUAGGCGGGGUAACGGCCCACCUAGUCUUCGAUGGAUAGGGGUUCUGAGAGGAAGGUCCCCCACAUUGGAACUGAGACACGGUCCAAACUCCUACGGGAGGCAGCAGUGAGGAAUAUUGGUCAAUGGGCGAGAGCCUGAACCAGCCAAGUAGCGUGAAGGAUGACUGCCCUAUGGGUUGUAAACUUCUUUUAUAAAGGAAUAAAGUCGGGUAUGGAUACCCGUUUGCAUGUACUUUAUGAAUAAGGAUCGGCUAACUCCGUGCCAGCAGCCGCGGUAAUACGGAGGAUUCGAGCGUUAUCCGGAUUUAUUGGGUUUAAAGGGAGCGUAGAUGGAUGUUUAAGUCAGUUGUGAAAGUUUGCGGCUCAACCGUAAAAUUGCAGUUGAUACUGGAUAUCUUGAGUGCAGUUGAGGCAGGCGGAAUUCGUGGUGUAGCGGUGAAAUGCUUAGAUAUCACGAAGAACUCCGAUUGCGAAGGCAGCCUGCUAAGCUGCAACUGACAUUGAGGCUCGAAAGUGUGGGUAUCAAACAGGAUUAGAUACCCUGGUAGUCCACACGGUAAACGAUGAAUACUCGCUGUUUGCGAUAUACGGCAAGCGGCCAAGCGAAAGCGUUAAGUAUUCCACCUGGGGAGUACGCCGGCAACGGUGAAACUCAAAGGAAUUGACGGGGGCCCGCACAAGCGGAGGAACAUGUGGUUUAAUUCGAUGAUACGCGAGGAACCUUACCCGGGCUUAAAUUGCAAAUGAAUAAUCUGGAAACAGGUUAGCCGCAAGGCAUUUGUGAAGGUGCUGCAUGGUUGUCGUCAGCUCGUGCCGUGAGGUGUCGGCUUAAGUGCCAUAACGAGCGCAACCCUUGUUGUCAGUUACUAACAGGUUCUGCUGAGGACUCUGACAAGACUGCCAUCGUAAGAUGUGAGGAAGGUGGGGAUGACGUCAAAUCAGCACGGCCCUUACGUCCGGGGCUACACACGUGUUACAAUGGGGGGUACAGAGGGCCGCUACCACGCGAGUGGAUGCCAAUCCCAAAAACCUCUCUCAGUUCGGACUGGAGUCUGCAACCCGACUCCACGAAGCUGGAUUCGCUAGUAAUCGCGCAUCAGCCACGGCGCGGUGAAUACGUUCCCGGGCCU